This is a non-coding RNA of Delphinapterus leucas (beluga whale), 881 nucleotides long. The record is from RefSeq and is a predicted model, not a curated record. NCBI's taxonomy places the organism in Eukaryota, Metazoa, Chordata, Mammalia, Artiodactyla, Monodontidae.
CCCCGCGCCCCGGCGCCCGGCCCCCGAGCCGAUCUCCGCGCGAGGAAGAGCUUCUGGGCAGCAGCGCCAGCAGGAGGUGCUCCCAGCUCCUCUCCCCGCGAGCCCCUGGGGGUCCAUCCUGAGCCCUUUCUGUUCCCGGGGCCAUCUCCCCCCUCUUUCUCCUGGCCCUGAUGUGGAAAGCCGCUGCCGGACUUCGGUUUUCCAGAAUGAGGUUCCCCAGCAGAGCAAGUCGGGAGAGAGCUGCUUCGAACCCGGCACCUACCUCUAGACCUGGGCGCCUUCCACGAACCGAGGCUACACCCGCCACCUGCCUCUUCCCCUUUGCUUAUUCCUCUGCCCGGGGUCAGAGAUCACGAGAGGUCACCCGGGCAGAAAGUCAGUGGUCAGUUUCCUGAAAUGGUCGCCACGCUGUGCAAUUUACAAAGUGGCUUGUCCCGUAUCAAGAAGGUUAUAUUUUCCUGCACUUACCGAGUCAGCAUUUCUCAAACACGUGUGUGUACCUGUGUCUUUCCCUCCAUCGGACGCCCCUGUCUUCCGCCUUCACACCUCCACCGCUUGCCUUCGCUGAAGAAAGCCUGGCCCUGAGUCUCCCUUUGAAAAUCACAGCAAAGAGACAGCUUUGCAAGAAUGACAGCUGUUUGAGGGAAGUAAAUUGGCUCCGGUUUUUCCCGGAGAAGCUAUGAGAAGAUCCAGAAGCCGAAGCAGUUGUAGGAGAGCGGCAGCAGGUGGCGGGGCCGGCAGGGGGGGUGAUGCCAGAAGAGAUGGGCAAGAAUUCAGCUGGGCAUGAGAGUGGUCUGGCCUAGGAAUUGCUGGAGAAAAAGCUUCUUCCCACCGUGGCAUCCGGGGAAUAGAAAAUAAAAUCUCUUUAUUCUCAUCCCCUC